GAUAGAUCAAGAAAUUCAACAUUUAUUUAGCAAGUGCAAAGUCCAGGCAAGAAAUAUUUUAUGAUUUUUGUCCUAUGAACUAAGAUUCUAACACUUGUACAGAAACUAACACCUAAAAAGUUCUAAGACUGGCUUCUUGAAAACAAAAAUCAAUUUCGAUGUCAUAGUGCUUCAAAACAUCACAAGUUGGUAAGCAAUAACAAGAGGGUUAAUAGUUUUAUUUAAUUAUGCUGUUUAUAAACAUAACAGGAAUUUAAAUCCAAGGAUAAAUAUGUACUAUUCAUUUCUUAAUGCAUAAGAACCAACACUCUGGUAACCAAAAUAGAUGAGGUCCCUGUAAUAAAUACUCACAUAUAACAUGAACUUUUCCUUCCUGAAAGUUAUACAAUUUUUUAAAAUUUUGCUUUUAUUUAUUUGAUUGCCUGUAUUUUCUAAUGACCUAUAGGAUUCAUAAUGUUUUUUGCUCCAAGAGGCCAUAGUAGACAAUAAAUGCUUGUUCACUGGAUAAAUGAUUUACAUCUCAUUAUUGUCUUAAAUUUAGCAUUCCAUUGUGCGAACCUCACUUUCAAAAGAAUGAACAGCUUGACGGGGAGGGUACUGGGUAAAGUUUAGGAUCAAUGGAAGAUUUAUUCUUCUAUUAUAACACAUUACAUAAACUUUGUGUUUUGAUACUUUAUGGCUUUUAGUGAUAAAUGAAUGCACUGAGACACACCAAGCUUCAUGAACCAAUCUUUUAUGCUUCCAUUCUUUUCUAUUACAUCAGAAUAAUAUGUCCUUGAGAAACAUUUAUAACCAUACACUACAUACAUGUUUGUCUGUAAUGAAGCAAGAUAUAGAAUUAAAAUCUAAAGAGCAUUAAAAAGGGUUAAGUUGAAUUGCUAGGUAUGUGGGAUUGUGUAGCAUGCCAAAAUUCACUUAGGAUAUUUUCAUUCUAAUUUAGGUCACCCUGGGAACGGGGGGUAGGGAAAUGGGCUCUACUGAAUUGAGAUCAUGCUUAUUAGCUACAUGAUUUUGAGCAAGUUACAUACAUAACCUCUUAGCAUUAGUUUCCUUACCUAUAAAUGGGGGGAAAUAACACCUAACAUCAACCUUAUGGGGCAGUCUAAGGAAUAAAUGACAUAAGGAUAAAAUAUAUGAAAAGCUUAGCAGAGUGACUAGACUAUUAGAAAUAUUCAAUAUAUGAUAGCUAUAAAAACAAUCUUAUGUAAUAAACUAAUUAGGUGGAAUAAUUACCACAUCAAUCUAGAUGCUAUGUAAUCAAAAUACUCCGGUACAACAGAAUGCAUUUUAUCAGGUUACUAAAAGAUUUGUUGCCCGGGUAUACUUUUUCUAGUAUAUACUGUUUGGGUGUCUAUUCUUUCACAGUCAGAUCACAUUUCUAAAUCAGAAGGGAUCAGCUACUUAAGAAAUACUGAGGCCUAGAUUUAGCCACAGAGUUUGAAUUCAGCAUUUCUUCUCUCUGGCAUUAACAGCAUUUGCUUUUACUUUUACAUGUUAAAGAAUAUCUUAAUAUAUAGGCAGAAAAAACUGGCCAAUAUGAGGGCAAGGAAAGAAUGCUCUAGUCCAAAAAAUCAUUGUCUACAUCAGCAAAUUUUAAAUUCCCAUCAUUAAUAAUACUUUUAAUAGGCCUCUUCAAAAGGAGACUUACUAUUUAUUUUUCUUUUUUAUUAUGGGAAAAUUCAAAACUAAACAAGAGUAGACAGGAGAGUAUAAUGAUCCUCAUGUACUUAUCACCUGGCUUUGAUGGCUAUCAACUCAUGGCCAAUCUCCUUUUUUUUUUUUUUUUUUUUUUUUUUUAGUUUAUUCCUGAAAGACACACCAAGAGAGAUAGGCAGAGACAUAGGCAAAGGGAGAAGCAGGCUCCAUGCAGGGAGCCCGAUGUAGGACUUGAUCCGGGGUCUCCAGGAUCACGCCCUGAGCCAAAGGCAGAUGCUCAACUGCUGAACCACACAGACAUCCCAACUCAUGGCCAAUCUCAAUCCAUCUAUACUCCUACUUCCCUCUCCCACAUAAUUUGAAGCAAAUCCCAGGCAUAUUAUUUCACCUGUAAAUAUUUCAGUAUAUAUUUAUAAAACAUAAGGACUUUUUGACACAACACAAUUACAACAUCAUCAUCAUAACUGGGUAAAUGGGGGCAUCUGGGUGGCUCGGUGGUUGAGCAUCUACCUUUGGCUUAGGGCGUGAUACCAGCGUCCUGGGAUCGAGUCCCACACUGGGCUCCCCGCAGGGAGCCUAUUCUCCCUCUGCCUAUGUCUCUGCUUCUCUCUCUGUGUCGCUCAUGAAUAAAUAAAUAAAACCUUAAAAAAAAAUAACUGGGUAAAUGGCGAUCAGAAACCGGAGAUAUCUGGGAAGAGAAGUAAAGAAAGAACAAACUCAGAUGCUUACAGGUAACACUUUGCUAUGUUUAUCCUCAUUGGGCAUAUACAUUUCUUUUUGGAAGCCCAUCUUAUGGCUUCAAAUACUUUUUUUAAAGAUUGUAUUUAUCGGGCAGAGAGCCCGGUGUGGGACCCGAUCCUGGGGCU
Molecule: long non-coding RNA, 2522 nt
Filed under: Canis lupus familiaris (dog)
Lineage: Eukaryota; Metazoa; Chordata; Mammalia; Carnivora; Canidae
Description: lncRNA (ENSCAFG00845011434.1)
Source: RNAcentral